UACGUAGGGGGCAAGCGUUGUCCGGAAUCAUUGGGCGUAAAGAGCGCGUAGGCGGUCCGGUAAGUCCGCUCUGAAAGUCCGGGGCUCAACCCCGGGAGGCGGGCGGAUACUGUCGGGCUAGAGUCCGGAAGAGGCGAGUGGAAUUCCUGGUGUAGCGGUGAAAUGCGCAGAUAUCGGGAAGAACACCGGUGGCGAAGGCGGCGACCUGGUCCGAUACUGACGCUGAGGCGCGAAAGCGUGGGGAGCAAACAGG
This 253-nucleotide ribosomal RNA is filed under the name uncultured bacterium. RNAcentral describes it as "partial 16S ribosomal RNA". It matches the Rfam family "Bacterial small subunit ribosomal RNA", at positions 524 to 776 of the family's 1533-position model. The record is from RNAcentral.